Long non-coding RNA from Lucilia cuprina (Australian sheep blowfly), 373 nucleotides. RefSeq lists it as uncharacterized. NCBI's taxonomy places the organism in Eukaryota, Metazoa, Arthropoda, Insecta, Diptera, Calliphoridae. The transcript is spliced from 2 exons. The record is from RefSeq and is a predicted model, not a curated record.
UAAUAGAAAAACGUAUUUCAGUUAAGAACAAAAAAACUUCCAAUGAACUUCCGAAUAUUUUUUGGUAUUUUGUUGAUUGCAACACUAUUCUUAGCAACUAGUGGAACUACUAGCGGUGGUAAAGGUUGGGGCGAAAGUAUAUGUACUGGUAUUAGCUAUUUUUUUCGAAAACUUAUUAGCGGGUCCCUAAAACUGAACAGCCUUCCACGUUUCCCAAGAAAACCUAUACGUAUGAUGAUUUACCAGCUAUUAAUGCUCGUCAUUUAUAUCCAAGCUUAACACAGUAUCCUAAUAGCGGAUUUAAUUAUCAAUCUAAAAUUGAAACUUCAAAAACGGAUAAUAUACUUACUCAGAGCACUGAAUCAAAUACCAA